RNAcentral lists this long non-coding RNA (429 nucleotides) under Carica papaya (papaya). Its description in RNAcentral is "long non-coding RNA (CPAP_LNC007967)". The record is from RNAcentral. Lineage: Eukaryota; Viridiplantae; Streptophyta; Magnoliopsida; Brassicales; Caricaceae.
UAACAAAGAAUAAAGUGAGAGAUUCUUACCCGAAUCGGUGUCUGAAAUAUAAAACUUCUGCUGCGCUUACAGGCGGUCUCUAAGUUUCUUAAAUUUUUCUGCUGAGAUUGAAAUACGCUCUACGUACUUAAAAAUACUCCAAAAAUUCAAAAUCGGUGUUAAAACCUUUCUUCGACCAAUUUUGGAAUUCUGGCACGGCGGCACCACCAUGCUCCAGCGACGGCACCACCCUCUGCGGUAGCGAUUUGCCUCAGCCUGACCAUUUUCGGCUGGUUCUUACUGGUUUCAGCCAGUUUUAUACCCAUCCCUGUGAGAAAAUACGUUAUGGGGCAUCAGUUGACCGAAAAAACUCAAAAAAUAGAAACCAACCGGCAGUGAAAUUUUUCAGUGCGAUGGCACUGCCGGCUCAGCAUCGCGGCUGGAUAUUUU